Molecule: ribosomal RNA, 1400 nt
Filed under: uncultured bacterium
Lineage: Bacteria
Description: bacterial SSU rRNA
Rfam family: Bacterial small subunit ribosomal RNA
Source: RNAcentral
AGAGUUUGAUCCUGGCUCAGGAUCAACGCUAGCGACAGGCUUAACACAUGCAAGUCGAGGGGCAGCGGGAGGAAAGCUUGCUUUCCUUGCCGGCGACCGGCGCACGGGUGAGUAACACGUAUGCAACCUGCCCUUCCCAGGGGGACAACCUUCCGAAAGGGAGGCUAAUCCCGCGUAUAUCCUCCGGAGGCAUCUCCGGAGGAGGAAAGAUUCAUCGGGGGAGGAUGGGCAUGCGGCGCAUUAGCUAGACGGCGGGGUAACGGCCCACCGUGGCGACGAUGCGUAGGGGUUCUGAGAGGAAGGUCCCCCACACUGGUACUGAGACACGGACCAGACUCCUACGGGAGGCAGCAGUGAGGAAUAUUGGUCAAUGGAAGAGAUUCUGAACCAGCCAAGCCGCGUGAGGGAAGACGGCCCUACGGGUUGUAAACCUCUUUUGUCGGGGAACAAAGAGCGGGACGUGUCCCGCGUUGAGUGUACCCGAAGAAAAAGCAUCGGCUAACUCCGUGCCAGCAGCCGCGGUAAUACGGAGGAUGCGAGCGUUAUCCGGAUUUAUUGGGUUUAAAGGGUGCGCAGGCGGCGGAUCAAGUCAGCGGUCAAAUUGCGGGGCUCAACCCCGUACUGCCGUUGAAACUGGUCCGCUUGAGUUGGAGAGAAGUAGGCGGAACGCGCGGUGUAGCGGUGAAAUGCAUAGAUAUCGCGCAGAACUCCGAUUGCGAAGGCAGCCUACCGGCUCCAUACUGACGCUGAGGCACGAAAGCGUGGGGAUCGAACAGGAUUAGAUACCCUGGUAGUCCACGCAGUAAACGAUGAAUGCUGGUUGUCCGGACCGAUUGAGGUCUGGGCGGCGAAGCGAAAGCGAUAAGCAUUCCACCUGGGGAGUACGCCGGCAACGGUGAAACUCAAAGGAAUUGACGGGGGCCCGCACAAGCGGAGGAACAUGUGGUUUAAUUCGAUGAUACGCGAGGAACCUUACCCGGGCUCAAACGGGAGCGGAAUGUCGCAGAGACGCGACAGUCUUCGGACCGCUUCCGAGGUGCUGCAUGGUUGUCGUCAGCUCGUGCCGUGAGGUGUCGGGUUAAGUCCCAUAACGAGCGCAACCCCUACCGUUAGUUGCCAUCAGGUAAAGCUGGGCACUCUGGCGGGACUGCCGGUGUAAGCUGUGAGGAAGGCGGGGAUGACGUCAAAUCAGCACGGUCCUUACGUCCGGGGCGACACACGUGUUACAAUGGCAGGUACAGCGGGAAGCCAUAUGGCGACAUAGAGCGGAACCCGAAAACCUGUCUCAGUUCGGAUUGGAGUCUGCAACUCGACUCCAUGAAGCUGGAUUCGCUAGUAAUCGCGCAUCAGCCACGGCGCGGUGAAUACGUUCCCGGGCCUUGCACUCACCACCCGUCAAG